RNAcentral lists this unclassified non-coding RNA (234 nucleotides) under uncultured fungus. RNAcentral's name for it is "sequence contains ITS1". Lineage: Eukaryota; Fungi. The record is from RNAcentral.
GUUUUAGUUGUACAUUAUGCACAGAGACAUUCCAUUACAUUCAGAGUGUGUAAAAGUACCCUCGAACCGGAUCGAUCGAAAUCAAUCUUUUGCCCCCAAAAAGGGCGAUUCAGAGAGUCAAAGAUGCACAGGUGUGUGGAUUUGCGACCGAACGUGCACAUGUGUUGCCACCAGCACAGAUACGGCCGACUUGAAGUUUCAUUAAUGAUCCUUCCGCAGGUUCACCUACGGAAA